Molecule: ribosomal RNA, 495 nt
Filed under: uncultured bacterium
Lineage: Bacteria
Description: partial 16S ribosomal RNA
Rfam family: Bacterial small subunit ribosomal RNA
Source: RNAcentral
GAUGAACGCUGGCGGCGUGCCUAAUACAUGCAAGUAGAACGCUGAAGGAGUAGCUUCCUCUUCUGGAUGAGUUGCGAACGGGUGAGUAACGCGUAGGUAACCUGCCUUGUAUCGGGGGAUAACUAUUGGAAACGAUAGCUAAUACCGCAUGACAACAGUUAUUGCAUGAUAACUGUUUAAACGUGGCAACUGCUCCACUACCAGAUGGACCUGCGUUGUAUUAGCCAUUUGGUGAGGUAACGGCUCACCAAGGCGACGACACAGAGCCUGCCCGAGAGGGGGGUCGGCCACCAUGGGACUUGGACACGGCCCCGACUCCCACGGGAGGCAGGCGUAGGGGAUUUUCGGCAAAUGGGGGAAGGCUGACUGAACAAAGCCGGCGUAGGGAAGGAGGUUUUCGGAUCGUAAAGCUCUGUUGUAAGGGAAGAACGAGUGGGAGGGUAAAAAGUUGAUGCUGUGACGGUAUCUAACCAAAAAGCAACGGCUAACUACGUG